UCCUACGGGAGGCAGCAGCAAGGAAUAUUGGGCAAUGGCCGAAAGGCUGACCCAGCAACGCCGCGUGGAGGACGACGGCCUUCGGGUUGUAAACUCCUUUUGGGGGGGGACGAUGAUGACGGUACCCCCCGAAUCAGCCCCGGCUAACUCUGUGCCAGCAGCCGCGGUAA
RNAcentral lists this ribosomal RNA (170 nucleotides) under uncultured bacterium. RNAcentral describes it as "partial 16S ribosomal RNA". It matches the Rfam family "Bacterial small subunit ribosomal RNA", at positions 337 to 523 of the family's 1533-position model. The record is from RNAcentral.